GAUGAGAACGUAGCGAAAUGCGAUAAGUAGUGUGAAUUGCAGAAUUCAGUGAAUCAUCGAAUCUUUGAACGCACAUUGCGCCCCUUGGUAUUCCAUGGGGCAUGCCUGUUCGAGCGUCAUUUGUACCUUCAAGCUCUGCUUGGUGUUGGGUGUUUGUCUCGCCUCUGCGUGUAGACUCGCCUCAAAACAAUUGGCAGCCGGCGUAUUGAUUUCGGAGCGCAGUACAUCUCGCGCUUUGCACUCAUAACGACGACGUCCAAAAGUACAUUUUUACACUCUUGACCUCGGAUCAGGUAGGGAUACCCGCUGAACUUAAGCAUAUCAAUAAGCGGAGGA
This 336-nucleotide unclassified non-coding RNA is filed under the name soil metagenome. RNAcentral's name for it is "partial contains 5.8S ribosomal RNA, internal transcribed spacer 2, and large subunit ribosomal RNA". The stretch from base 5 to 119 matches the Rfam family "5.8S ribosomal RNA", at positions 40 to 154 of the family's 154-position model. The record is from RNAcentral.